RNAcentral lists this ribosomal RNA (586 nucleotides) under uncultured bacterium. RNAcentral's name for it is "partial 16S ribosomal RNA". It matches the Rfam family "Bacterial small subunit ribosomal RNA", at positions 355 to 937 of the family's 1533-position model. The record is from RNAcentral.
UGGGGAAUAUUGGACAAUGGGCGCAAGCCUGAUCCAGCAAUGCCGCGUGUGUGAAGAAGGCCUUCGGGUUGUAAAGCACUUUUAUCAGGAGCGAAACGCUGUCGGCUAAUACCCGGCGGAACUGACGGUACCUGAGGAAUAAGCACCGGCUAACUUCGUGCCAGCAGCCGCGGUAAUACGAAGGGUGCAAGCGUUAAUCGGAAUUACUGGGCGUAAAGCGUGCGUAGGCGGUUUCUUAAGUCUGCUGUGAAAUCCCCGGGCUCAACCUGGGAAUGGCAGUGGAUACUGGGAGGCUAGAGUGUGUCAGAGGGUGGUGGAAUUCCCGGUGUAGCGGUGAAAUGCGUAGAGAUCGGGAGGAACAUCAGUGGCGAAGGCGGCCACCUGGGACAACACUGACGCUGAGGCACGAAAGCGUGGGGAGCAAACAGGAUUAGAUACCCUGGUAGUCCACGCCCUAAACGAUGCGAACUGGAUGUUGGUCUCAACUCGGAGAUCAGUGUCGAAGCUAACGCGUUAAGUUCGCCGCCUGGGGAGUACGUCGCAAGACUGAAACUCAAAUGAAUUGACGGGGUCAUAGCUGUUUCUG